GACGUAGGGCGCGAGCGUUGUCCGGGAUUUAUUGGGCGUAAAGAGCUCGUAGGCGGCUUGUCGCGUCGUCUGUGAAAUCCCGCGGCUCAACUGCGGGCUGCAGUCGAUACGGGCAGGCUGGAGUUCGGUAGGGGAGACUGGAAUUCCUGGUGUAGCGGUGAAAUGCGCAGAUAUCAGGAGGAACACCGGUGGCGAAGGCGGGUCUCUGGGCCGAUACUGACGCUGAGGAGCGAAAGCGUGGGGAGCGAACAGG
This 253-nucleotide ribosomal RNA is filed under the name uncultured bacterium. Its description in RNAcentral is "partial 16S ribosomal RNA". It matches the Rfam family "Bacterial small subunit ribosomal RNA", at positions 524 to 776 of the family's 1533-position model. The record is from RNAcentral.